CCCUUAGAUGUCCUGGGCCGCACGCGUGCUACACUGACGCAUACAGCGAGCACUUUCCAGUUCCGAGAGGCUACUGGCAAUCAUCAAUAUGCGUCGUGAUGGGGAUAGAUCUUUGGAAUUCUGGAUCUUGAACGAGGAAUGCCUAGUAAUCGCAGGUCAUUAGCCUGCGAUGAUUAAGUCCCUGCCCUUUGUACACACCGCCCGUCGCUACUACCGAUUUCGAGUGGUCAGGUGAAUCUUUCGGACUGUGGGCGCCCUUGAGGUGUUCGCGGAAAGUCAGGUAAAUCUUAUCACUUAGAGGAAGUAAAAGUCGUAACA
This 318-nucleotide ribosomal RNA is filed under the name uncultured eukaryote. Its description in RNAcentral is "partial 18S ribosomal RNA". It matches the Rfam family "Eukaryotic small subunit ribosomal RNA", at positions 1470 to 1796 of the family's 1831-position model. The record is from RNAcentral.